This 698-nucleotide ribosomal RNA is filed under the name Pseudomonas sp. HCG1022. RNAcentral's name for it is "bacterial SSU rRNA". It matches the Rfam family "Bacterial small subunit ribosomal RNA", at positions 45 to 736 of the family's 1533-position model. The record is from RNAcentral. Lineage: Bacteria; Pseudomonadati; Pseudomonadota; Gammaproteobacteria; Pseudomonadales; Pseudomonadaceae.
GGCCUAACACAUGCAAGUCGAGCGGUAGAGAAGGAGCUUGCUUCUUCUUGAGAGCGGCGGACGGGUGAGUAAUGCCUAGGAAUCUGCCUGGUAGUGGGGGACAACGUUUCGAAAGGAACGCUAAUACCGCAUACGUCCUACGGGAGAAAGUGGGGGAUCUUCGGACCUCACGCUAUCAGAUGAGCCUAGGUCGGAUUAGCUUGUAGGUGAGGUAAUGGCUCACCUAGGCAACGAUCCGUAACUGGUCUGAGAGGAUGAUCAGUCACACUGGAACUGAGACACGGUCCAGACUCCUACGGGAGGCAGCAGUGGGGAAUAUUGGACAAUGGGCGAAAGCCUGAUCCAGCCAUGCCGCGUGUGUGAAGAAGGUCUUCGGAUUGUAAAGCACUUUAAGUUGGGAGGAAGGGUUGUAGCUUAAUACGCUGCAACCUUGACGUUACCAACAGAAUAAGCACCGGCUAACUCUGUGCCAGCAGCCGCGGUAAUACAGAGGGUGCAAGCGUUAAUCGGAAUUACUGGGCGUAAAGCGCGCGUAGGCGGCUUGAUAAGAUGGGUGUGAAAUCCCCGGGCUUAACCUGGGAACUGCAUCCAUAACUGUCUGGCUAGAGUACAGUAGAGGGUGGUGGAAUUUCCUGUGUAGCGGUGAAAUGCGUAGAUAUAGGAAGGAACACCAGUGGCGAAGGCGACCACCUGGACUG